GACGAACGCUGGCGGCGUGCUUAACACAUGCAAGUCGAACGCUGAAGCUCAGCUUUUGUUGGGUGGAUGAGUGGCGAACGGGUGAGUAACACGUGAGUAACCUGCCUCCUUCUUUGGGAUAACGCCCGGAAACGGGUGCUAAUACUGGAUAUUCACUGGUCUUCGCAUGGGGGUUGGUGGAAAGGGUUUUUCUGGUGGGGGAUGGGCUCGCGGCCUAUCAGCUUGUUGGUGGGGUGAUGGCCUACCAAGGCUUUGACGGGUAGCCGGCCUGAGAGGGUGACCGGUCACAUUGGGACUGAGAUACGGCCCAGGCUCCUACGGGAGGCAGCAGUGGGGAAUAUUGCACAAUGGGCGCAAGCCUGAUGCAGCGACGCCGCGUGAGGGAUGGAGGCCUUCGGGUUGUGAACCUCUUUCGCUCAUGGUCAAGCCGCAACAAUGGUUGUGGUGAGGGUAGUGGGUAAAGAAGCGCCGGCUAACUACGUG
This 483-nucleotide ribosomal RNA is filed under the name uncultured bacterium. RNAcentral's name for it is "partial 16S ribosomal RNA". It matches the Rfam family "Bacterial small subunit ribosomal RNA", at positions 28 to 507 of the family's 1533-position model. The record is from RNAcentral.